UGAGCACAGUGAAGAGAUCUUCCCAGCAUCAGGUUAGGAGAAGGAAUGGCGUGACUCACUUUGUAUGAAGAAACAAGAUUGCAGUAAUAGGAGUAUUAAA
Molecule: long non-coding RNA, 100 nt
Organism: Lagopus leucura (white-tailed ptarmigan)
Lineage: Eukaryota; Metazoa; Chordata; Aves; Galliformes; Phasianidae
Exons: 3
Source: RefSeq, a predicted model, not a curated record